UACGUAGGGCGCAAGCGUUGUCCGGAAUUAUUGGGCGUAAAGAGCUCGUAGGCGGCUUGUCACGUCGGGUGUGAAAGCCCGGGGCUUAACCCCGGGUCUGCAUUCGAUACGGGCAGGCUGGAGUGUGGUAGGGGAGAUCGGAAUUCCUGGUGUAGCGGUGAAAUGCGCAGAUAUCAGGAGGAACACCGGUGGCGAAGGCGGAUCUCUGGGCCAUUACUGACGCUGAGGAGCGAAAGCGUGGGGAGCGAACAGG
RNAcentral lists this ribosomal RNA (253 nucleotides) under uncultured bacterium. Its description in RNAcentral is "partial 16S ribosomal RNA". It matches the Rfam family "Bacterial small subunit ribosomal RNA", at positions 524 to 776 of the family's 1533-position model. The record is from RNAcentral.